RNAcentral lists this transfer RNA (45 nucleotides) under Sciobius sp. SCI01. Its description in RNAcentral is "partial tRNA-Met". The record is from RNAcentral. Lineage: Eukaryota; Metazoa; Arthropoda; Insecta; Coleoptera; Curculionidae.
AAAGCUAUUGGGUUCAUACCCCACUUAUAAAGGUUUUAAUCCUUU